GGCAGAGUAAAUCCGUUGAGCUACCCAAGUCUUCUUCUAAAUGACAGUCCCGUGAUGGGUCUUCUCUUCCCUGCGUCUCCUCUUCUAUGUCUGAACUUUGCUUCAAAUGACGUUACUUGAGACCUAUUUACUCUCUAUUUUCCUCUGGAUAUUCUCCUGUGUCUCUCUUAAAUUGUGGGCCCCAGAACUUAGCAUGAUGCUCUAAAUUGUUUGGUAUCUGAUACUUCUACUAACAAAGUCUAAGGUAGUCUAAGAUGGAUUUACCUCUUGGUGGCAGCCAUGUUGGAUUUAUAGCUCAUAUUAAGGUUUUAUUCAACCCUGCUUGACCGGGCUGCUUUGGUUGCUCCCUGACUGAUCUCCUUACUACCCUUGCCCCUCAGUGCCUGUUCUCUAACCAGCAGUGAGAGUGAUUCUGUUAAAACGUUUACCAGAUCACUCUCUGAUUGAACCCCUCCACUACCUUCCCAUAUACUCCAGCCACAAAGGCCUCUGAUGGCCUUGAGACAUUUGCCCUUGCUGUUCCUUCUGCCCGGAACGGUCUCCCCUCACAUAUCCUGUGCCUUUCAUCUCUUCCUUCAGGUCUUUCCUCAGAUGUCACCCUCUCAUCCCCACCCCAUCAUUCACCAUCUACUUUCCUACUUAUUGUUAAGUCAUAGCAUUUACUGUCAGCUAUUUGUUUGUUCCUGCUACUCCACGUCGUAUCAGAGGAUAGCCACGGGAACUUUUCCCGUCUUAUUCAUUAGUGUAUAUCCAGUAUCUAGAACAGUGCUUGGCAUAUAGUAGAUAGCCAAUAAAUAAUCGUUGAAUUGAGGUUCUUGUUGUUUUGGAAAGGAACUGUCGUUGAUCAGAGGCCUGCUUAAUUCUGUACCGUGUACUUCUUUUGGGGACAUUUAGAUCUAGUUAUAGAACUUUACAUCCUGCUAAAUCCCUUAUUGAAAUGGAAGAUAUGAAGGAAAUGAGGAAGGCAGCAUCUGAUCUGUUCCUAGCGAGUCCCUAGAUAUAUAUUUGGGACCAGAGAUAUGUAUUUUCCAAGAGCAAACCACAUUCUAAAAAUGAUAGUUUAUCAUUUUUUCAGGUGUCAAGAUCAAACCCUUCCCUCUCCCACUUAUGAAAUUCAUCCUAAAAGUAGAACAGGUUUCCUCUACCUCCAGUCUCCUAAUUUUUUUUUUUUUUCGUCUUUUUAGAGCCGCACCUGCGGCAUGUGGAGGUUCCCAGGCUAGGGGUUGAAUAGGAACUCCAGCUUCUGGCCUAUUCCACAGCCACAGCAACUCAGGAUCCGAGCCGCGUCUGCGACCUACACCGAAGCUCACGGCAACGCCAGAUCCUUAACCCACUGAGCGAGGCCAGGGAUUGAACCUGUAUCCUCAUGGAUGCUACUCAGAUUUGUUUCCGAUGAGCCAUGAAGGGAACUCCCUCCUCUAAUUUUUUUUUUUUUCUGAUUCUCCAUUUUUUCAAAAGAAUCUGUUUGUUUAGGCCAGUUGUUUCACUGGGCCCCAUCCCCUGGGUCUGUAGUGGAUUCUUUCCGUGCUCAGAGAGGGCUCAGAGAGAACACUUCUGAGGAGCUUUUUACGCAUAAAAAUUCUAAUAAUCCAGUUGUUGCUGGCAGUUUGCCGUUAUGAGCUAGUUUUCCUUUAGAAUUAUUGUGACAAUCCUCCCAUUUCCCUGGCUCCUCAAAAUGUCUUGACUUCCAGAAUUUUCUUGCCUCACUGUUAUCUCAGGCUCCUUGUUCAUCUAUUUUUAGCUUUCAGAUUUCACAUCAUUCUUUCUCUCUUUGAAUUUGAUCACAUUAAUAUGAUUUUCUGCCUCAAUGUAUUGAAGUUGGACUACUCCCGUUUUUGUUUUUCUGAACCCCAGAGCUUCAUUCAGGAAGUGGCCUGAGUGGAGUUUUGUUUCAGCUUUUUUUUUUUUUUUUUUUUUUUUUUUGUUGUUGCUAUUUCUUGGGCCACUCCCGCGGCAUAUGGAGGUUCCCAGGCUAGGGGUCGAAUCGGAGCUAUAGCCACCGGCCUACACCAGAGCCACAGCAACGCGGAAUCCAAGCCACGUCUGCAACCUACACCACAGCUCACGGCAACGCUGGAUCCUUAACCCACUGAGCGAGGCCAGGGACCGAACCCGCCACCUCAUGGUUCUUAGUCGGAUUCGUUAACCACUGCACCAUGACGGGAACUCCUGUUUCAGCUUUUAUUAAAGUGACAUUCCAACUCUUUGUUCAGAGCCUCACACACUGCUCCCUUUUCUCUUAUGGGUUUUUUCCCCUAAUGCCUGUGAGAAGUGAGUGGAUGUCAGCUUCCUUGAAUGUGGGAGGAGCUUUACUGGAACUUCACUGACCCCUCCCAUCUCACUUUCUUGGAACAUUCUUUAUCGUAAUUGCUUAAAUGUGUCAAUUACUUUAUUUCUUAGAAGGACCGUGUAUGUUGAUUCAUAUCAGGGGUAGUAAGAAUCCCCCUCUGUUUGACGUGGCGGAACCAAAUCCAUCAUCUUCCCUGAAGGCCCACAUCCCUCUGCCCCUCCAUCAUUGUUCUUGGGUCGUUGAUGGCAACUUGCAAGCCUGUAGUCUAGACUCAAACUGUGUGCCUUCGUAUCCUGCCUCUUCCAUUUACUGCCUGAGUGGGGUUUGGCAAUUUAUUUAAGUUCUCUGAGCCUCAGCAUCUGUAUAAUGGCAAUAAUAAAUAUUGGCCUCUAGGUUUGUUGUAAUGUUUCAAUGAGAUAUUGUAAUGCAAAGCACUCAGUACAGUUCUUUUUUCCUCUUCUACAAUAAUAUGCACAACUUUGGAGUAAAGGCAAGUAGUGGAAAGACUUUUUUAGAAGCUCGCCUACUGCCAUUUCACCUGGACCUGGAAGACGUGUUUUUUCUGGGUGAAGAAAUGUUUUCGCUGUGUGAAAGUUUCAUAAUCACAGUGUAGCCGUCCCAUGAGCCCUACAGUUUAAAGCGGCUCCACUCUUUAUCGAUGACAUUCCUGUCUACACCCUGGGAAUGAGGACACUGGUCCGGCUCCCGAGAGUCAAACCACUGACGUCUCUUUGAAUUCUACGCCAUGAUCCAUGGCUCUGGAUGACCAGAACCUGACAAGGGCACGCUCUGAAUUUCAGGCCAUGGGGAGGCAUUCUGAGUUCCUUGUGACCUUGGCUGAGUUCUGAGCAGUGCCCAACCCAAGUUCAAAGGCUGAUGAGAGAGGAAAACUCAUGAGGAGGUUUUACUCUAGGGAAGUUGUUCAGUGGAUGGGAUCUUGGCGCACAGAGAAAGAUGUCAGGCUCUUUCUGGCUCCUUCUCAGCCUCAUUCCUGUAACUGCUGCUCAGUCCACCACUGAGGAACUGGCCAAGACAUUUUUGGAGAAGUUUAACCUUGAAGCCGAAGACCUGGCUUAUCAAAGUUCACUUGCUUCUUGGAACUAUAACACCAAUAUUACCGAUGAGAAUAUCCAAAAGAUGGUGAGUUCUCAUGGCGACACAGGGGUAUUUGUUGCUUCUUAAAAAUCAGGUUAUUGCCCAGAAAAUGAAAAGGGAAAUCAAAGAAAUGCUCUGAGCAGUGAGAUUGGAUGUCUGCCUCCCUAUUUCUGAUUCUGAGUCCCAGAUGGCUAAACAAUUGACCUUUGGGUUCAUUUGGGAAAUUGUUACAAAAUAAUUCGCUGGUCUCAGUCCAGAUUCUUGGAAACCAGUGAACAGGCUUUAGAAAGUUGCCACCAUAAUUCUCAUCAUAGUCAGGCUUUCAAAGCAUUUCAUGGAAAUGCCAUAAGUUAUUGUGUUAAUAAUUUCCCCAAGCCCACAAUGUCAACAGGAAUGUCUAAAGACGCUCUACAAAUGAUGUAUUAACUGAAAAAUGCAACUGGAGCUUUAGCGAAAGAGCUAGCUAGUAAUUAAGAUCGCAUGGGUCGGGUGAGGUUGGCCCUGGGAAGUUCAUUGUCAUGGAACUUCACCGUCAUGGAGCUCCGAGGGACUUCCAGGGGGUACGGAGUCCACAGAGCCCUCCAAGGAAAACCGGAAUUAAACCAGUGCUGACAAAUCUCAGAGUGCUCUGGGAAAGCAAGAUAUUUUGUUUGACAAGUGCAAGCUUUCAGGAAAUUUCUUCCUUCGCAGAUCCCAAAGCAGUGCUGGAAACGAAGCAGCAUUAUUUAAGCAAAGUUUUUUGGCAUUUGUUCCAGCAAUGCAUUCCUUCAAAAAGUGUAGUUCAGAAGCUUAUUUUUUCAAAUAGGAGGUUGCAUGUUUAAAGUAAAUUAUUGUUAUUCACUGGACAGAUCAAAUUUGAGAGCUGCUGCCUCAUUUGAGCACAAUUAGGAGAUUUUUUUUUUUUUCUUUUUAGGGCUGCACCUGCGGCAUAUGGAGGUUCCCAGGCUAGAGGUCUAAUUGGAGCUACAGCUGCCAACCUACACCACAGCUCAUGGCAAUGCCGGAUCCUUAACCCACUGAGCGAGGCCAGGGAUCAAACCUGAAACCUCAUGGUUCCUAGUCGGAUUUCAUUUCUGCUGCACCAUGACAGGAACUCCUUUUUCUAAACCUCAGAGAAAUCCAGGAGAUUUUGAUAGCCCACUGUUGUCAUAGGAAAGCGUUUUCUUUUUUUUCUUUGCUCAUAUUUUGGUCUUAGCUCUUGUCUCUCCACUGUUGCUUUUUUUCCUCACUUUUGAUUUCAUCGCUGCUCUAGGUGCAUGCAGUGCAUUGUAUGUUUGUUUUCAUUCUCAGCCAAAUGGUCCUGUAGGUGGUGGUGAAGGCUUACCAGCAUCAUGCCCAAGAGCUCUGGAGCCAAACUGCUGAGGGCCAAAUCCUGGCUCCACUACUUUCUACCUGGGUCCCCUUGAGCUGGUUAAUGAACCCCUCUGCACCGUAGGGUUUUUUUUUUUUUUCCUCUCAACUAUAAUGUGACCCUCAUAUUUGCCUCUCAGAGUGGCUGUGAUGACUAUUAAUACAGAGAGCCACCAGUAUAGCGCUCAAUGCUUAUAAGCAUGGGAGAGCAGUAAGGUCUCAUGGCUGUGAGUGUGAGAGGGAGUUAAAAUCACUGAAAGGACAGGUAAGAGUUCUGAUGAGGGCCCAGAUGCUGAGAAGGCAAGUUACAGAGUGAGAUGAGGUGAUGUUUGUUGAAAUCGUCUCUGGAUCAUUAAGUGCUAUCGCUUCUAAAUUACACUGGUGGAUUAGAGGAAAGGCCAGAAACGAAAGGGCAUAAAUCCAUGAAGUGUGGUCAAAGUACACAAAGUGUGGGCCCUUUGGAGGAAAGUGAAAAUAUCUGAAUGCGGGAAGCAAGCAGGGGGCCCAGUAUCUCCUUCCUCCAGCAGUGGCGAAGGGUGUAUCAGUGCCUGUGUGAGUUUACCUGCGGAGGCGGGCCGUGCCCAGGGAGGAAAAUAGCUCUUCUAGUCUCUUAUCACAUGUAUGGAGAUCCCCUGAUGUAAUGGGCACUGCAGCUGGUGCUACAAGAGGUACCAGGAUGCCGGAAGCUGAGAUAAGCUCCGUUGCUGGUAGCCAAGGCUCAAGAAGGAAUUCGAGGAAUGGAGGAUGUCCCCAAGAAAGAACAACUAGAAUGAUCUAAGGUAAUCAGAGACAGUAGGGAGGGAAAGCAGAAUUAGCUAGGAAAAAAUUGACUCAAAACGAAAAACAAAAAUGAGUCUGAGAUGGAACGAGCAAGGAUAGUGUUCACGGUUGUACUGGCCAACUCUUCGUACUAGAAAGGUGAUGCUUUUCAAAGCUCAAAAGAGAUAAAUUUACAGUAAAUAGGAGGAGGUGCAAUUUACGUUAUAGGUGGUGAAACUGGUAAGCCUUGUAAAACUGGCCUUUUUUUUUUUUUAAUCUAAAAAAGUGAGGCACUAAUGAAUCCGACUAGGAACCAUGAGGUUUCAGGUUCGAUCCCUGACCUUGCUCAGUGGGUUAAGGAUCCGGCGUUGCUGUGAGCUGUGGUGUGGGUCGCAGUCUCGGCUCCGAUCUGGUGUUGCUCUGGCUGUGGUGUAGGCUGGCAGCUGUAGCUCCGAUUAGACCUCUAGCCUGGGACCCUCCAUGUGCUGCGGGUGCUGCCAUAAAGAGCAAGAAUAAUAAUAAUAAUAAAAGUUUUUAAAAAGUGAGGCAUUGAAAACUAUCACUGGGUUUCUGAAGUAUUUUAGCAAAUGUAAGGAUAGUGGAUCUGCUGCGGGUCAGGAAGGAUGGUGCAGUGUGUUUGUGGACCCAGUUCUUUGCCCGUCCCUCUAUCCAUGCCCAAGGUUGUGUCACUAUGUAGUGCCAGCCCACUGAAGGUGAUGUGACUGUGUCCUUUGCUGUGGGGCUUACUUUGGCCAGCGGGGUGUUAGGAGAUAUGAUGCAAGUGGGGGCUUGGAAUGGACCCGAAUAACGGGGCUUGUCUUUUGCACCUUUGCCUUUGCAUGAGAACAUGCCUGGGUUAGCCAGCCAAAGAACGAGAGAUGCGGGAGUAUCUGCUGCGGCGAGGUGGGUUAAGAAUCCAACUGCAGCAACUCGGGUCGCUGCGGAGAUGCAGGUUUGAUCCCCAACCAGUGCAGGGUUAAGGGAUCUGUGUUGCUGCAGUGAACCAGGGGCGUCCUGGUUCACUGUUCCCGGAUUGGGCGCUCACUGUUGCAGCUGCCCCACACCCCAGUGCACGCAGCUGAAGGGGUGUUGAAGACUAUCCUGCUGGAGGCCUGGGGGGGUCUCCGGGAACACUUCAUCAAUAGUCCUUGGUGACCUCCUGGUGGAAACAUCUCCUCACCAUAGCCAUCGUUGUGCUCUUGAGCCUUUUAUUUGGACCUUGUGUAAUUAAUUGUACGUCUCGCUUCAUUACAUGCCGAUCCGACGCUAUGGACCUUCAGAUGGUGAUGGGAGGGGUGCCCAGUGUCAUGCUUCGAAGCCCCCUCGCCGGUCCCAUGAGUGGAGACCUAACUGCUUUCCCCUAACGACGCCCUUUUCAGCAGGAAGCAGUCAGAGGGGUCGUCGCCCCCUUCCCCCCCCCCGCAGUUCAAGUCUCCAACUCUGGGGCGGGGGGUUGGGGCAGAAUAAUAACGCAGGGGUCGGUGUAGGAGCAUGGGCUUGAUGCAGUCUUCGAUAUGGCCUUUGAUUAACAUGUGUGGCUGAAGGGCUCCGGGAGUGACAUCCCCACAGGCCUUGUCUACUCCAGGGAGGGUGCCUACAGGCAGAUGGACAGUAACCCCCAGCCCCCUGUGACUCAGUCUACGGGACGAAAAGGGCAAAGAAACCAUGAGACUUACGGGACAUUUCCACCCCUAAGACCCUAUGGGACAAGGACUGAUAACGGUAACUGGGCAAGGCCAAUGGGAGAAGACCGCAUCUUUCUGGACCCCACGUUGGUACCCACCCCGGACUUUAAGGAAUAAAAACCCCUACAGGACAAUAGAGAGGAGAACUCUUCUUCCCCCUCGCAGCUGUCCUGGGAGAUGUUUGCUUUCCUAUAAUAAAGACUUUGCUUGCUGGCAAAAAAAAAAAAAAAAAGUUCUUGGUGAGUUAGCAGAAGCUGUGAUUGGAGAGCAGGAGGCCCAUACUUGCCCUUUGGGUGACUGGGGCCCCUAAAGUCCUUGGGCAACCUGCUUCCCUGACUUGUCUUGAGGGCUGGGGGCACAGUGAAUGCAGAGCAGCAUUUUUGUUUUGUUUUUUUGCUUUUUAGGGCCACACCCGUAGCAUAUGGAGACUCCCAGGCUAGGGGUCCAAUUGGAGCUGCAGCUGCCAGCCUACGUCACAGCCACAGCAACUCAGGAUCUGAGCCGAGACUGCGACCUAUGCCACAGCUCUCAGCAGCACCGGAUCCUUAACCCACUGAGCAAGGCCAUGGGUCAAAUCGGCGUCCUCAUGGAAACUAGUCGGAUUCGAUUCUGCUGCACCCCGACGGGACCUCUGCAGGGUCAUUUUAAACUGCUAUUCUGGGAGUUCCCAUGGUGGCACAGUGGAACCAAAUCCAACUAGGAACCAUGAGGUUGCGGGUUCGAUUCCUGGCCUUGACUCAGUGGGUUAAGGAUCUGGCAUUGCUGUGAGCUGUGGUGUAGCUCACAGACGAGGCUCGGAUCGUGUGUUGCUGUGGCUAUGGUGUAGGCCGGCAGCUGUAGGUCCGAUUCAGCCCCUAGCCUGGGAACCUCCAUAUGCCGCAGGUGCAGCCCUAAAAAGCAAUAACAAAACAAAACAAAAAAAAAGUGCUAUUCUGUACCCCAAGGAGGGAUGUAGACCUCAUCCCUAUCUCUGAGGGGUCUGGGCCACACUCUCCAACACAUGCAAGUACCUGCACACAGGUCCAAGGAUGAAGGUCAGUGUGGUGCAAAUGCAGGGACAUUCGGGAUAUCCGACGCUGCCUUGUCCUGCCCUAGCUGGCUGUGGUAACUUGGACAAGUCACUUAUUUUUGGUCUCUUGAAACGUAAGAGGGCAGACGGGCCCAGCCCUGAGUUUUCCGUGGAUGAUCAUGGUGAAUGGCUAAGUUCCACACGAGGAGGAUUAAGACACGUCAAGUGCAUGGGAGGCCUUGUGCUUACUAGUAUUUCUUUGUCAUGAAACCUUGAUACUGUCCCAGUUUAGUGAUGUAAUUUGGUGAAAGUGAACUUGAGCAACUCAAAAUGACAUGUUUUCUUACAUCCAAAUUUGACACAAUUACUCAAUGAUCUGAGCACCCUUGACAGGACACCAGCGGCCACCAGCUACACCCAGGGUGGGCAGCCUGGUGGUCAGAAACUACCACUGUUUCUUAGUGUGGCAGUUAACUGGGCAAAAGAGAAUUCAUUUUAUUUUGGCUAAAUCCUUUGGUUUGGAGCGAUUCCAUAGGGUUUUUAGAUCUAGUUAUAGGACCUAGGGAAUAUGGUGAUAUUUUUCUUUGAUUUUACUAUUGAGGGCUUUUAACAACAGCUUUAUUGAGAUACGAUUAUGCACCACAAAAUUCAUCAAAGGAUACACUUCAAUGCUUUCUAGUAUACUUACAGAAUUGUACAACCAUCAUCACCAUCUAAUUUUAGAACAUUUUUUUUGCUUAUUUAUUUAUUUAUUUUUUUAGGUCCGCACCUGCUGCAUAUGGAGUUUCCCAGGCUAGGGGUCGAAUCGGAGCUGCAGCUGCCGGCCUACACCACAGCCACAGCCACAGCCACAGCCAUGCGGGAUCCGAGCUGCAUCUGCAACCUACACCACAGCUCAUGGCAACACCAGAUCCUUAACCCACUGAGCAAGUCCAGGGAUCAAACCUGCAUCCUCAUGGAUGCUAAUCAGAUUCGUUAACUGCUGAGCCAUGACGGGAACUCCUCAUUUUAGAACAUUUUUAUCAUCCCCAAAA
RNAcentral lists this long non-coding RNA (9222 nucleotides) under Sus scrofa (pig). RNAcentral describes it as "lncRNA (ENSSSCG00035052692.1)". Lineage: Eukaryota; Metazoa; Chordata; Mammalia; Artiodactyla; Suidae. The record is from RNAcentral.